AUGGCUCAGGAUGAACGCUGGCGGCGUGCUUAACACAUGCAAGUUGCGCGGUGAUCUCAAGAAGUUUCGGACGGAAAGGAGAGCAGCAGCGGACGGGUGAGUAAAGCACAAGGACUUGUCCCGAAGAGGGGGGACAACUGUGGGAAACCACAGCUAAUACCCCAUAAGCCGAGAGGUGAAAGCAGCGAUGCGCUUUAGGAGAGACUUGUGUCCUAUCAGGUAGUUGGUGAGGUAACGGCUCACCAAGCCGAAGACGGGUAGCCGGACUGAGAGGUUGUACGGCCACAUUGGAACUGAGAGACGGUCCAGACUCCUACGGGAGGCAGCAGUGGGGAAUAUUGGGCAAUGGGGGCAACCCUGACCCAGCCGACGCCGCGUGAGGGAAGACUGCCCUAUGGGUUGUAAACUUCUUUUAUAAGGGAAUAAAGUGAGGGACGUGUCCCUUUUUGUAUGUACCUUAUGAAUAAGGAUCGGCUAACUCCGUGCCAGCCGCCGC
RNAcentral lists this ribosomal RNA (496 nucleotides) under uncultured bacterium. RNAcentral's name for it is "bacterial SSU rRNA". It matches the Rfam family "Bacterial small subunit ribosomal RNA", at positions 19 to 518 of the family's 1533-position model. The record is from RNAcentral.